Molecule: ribosomal RNA, 437 nt
Filed under: Roseomonas mucosa
Lineage: Bacteria; Pseudomonadati; Pseudomonadota; Alphaproteobacteria; Acetobacterales; Roseomonadaceae
Description: bacterial SSU rRNA
Rfam family: Bacterial small subunit ribosomal RNA
Source: RNAcentral
UGCUUACACAUGCAAGUCGCACGGGCAGCAAUGUCAGUGGCGGACGGGUGAGUAACGCGUAGGAACGUGUCCUGAGGUGGGGGACAACCCCGGGAAACUGGGGCUAAUACCGCAUAUGGGCUGAGGCCCAAAGCCGAGAGGCGCCUUUGGAGCGGCCUGCGUCCGAUUAGGUAGUUGGUGGGGUAAAGGCCUACCAAGCCUGCGAUCGGUAGCUGGUCUGAGAGGACGACCAGCCACACUGGGACUGAGACACGGCCCAGACUCCUACGGGAGGCAGCAGUGGGGAAUAUUGGACAAUGGGCGAAAGCCUGAUCCAGCAAUGCCGCGUGGGUGAAGAAGGUCUUCGGAUCGUAAAGCCCUUUCGACGGGGACGAUGAUGACGGUACCCGUAGAAGAAGCCCCGGCUAACUUCGUGCCAGCAGCCGGGGGUAAUACAA